Molecule: ribosomal RNA, 2630 nt
Filed under: Vibrio parahaemolyticus
Lineage: Bacteria; Pseudomonadati; Pseudomonadota; Gammaproteobacteria; Vibrionales; Vibrionaceae
Description: partial 23S ribosomal RNA
Rfam family: Bacterial large subunit ribosomal RNA
Source: RNAcentral
UAGCCCUUAAGCUUUACACGCGUUAGACGAACGGUCUGGAAAGUCCGACGAUACAGGGUGAUAGUCCCGUAGUUGACGACGUGUGUUCAGUGAAAUCGAGUAGGGCGGGACACGUGAUAUCCUGUCUGAAUAUGGGGGGACCAUCCUCCAAGGCUAAAUACUACUGACUGACCGAUAGUGAACCAGUACCGUGAGGGAAAGGCGAAAAGAACCCCUGUGAGGGGAGUGAAAUAGAACCUGAAACCGUGUACGUACAAGCAGUAGGAGCAGGCUUUGUCCUGUGACUGCGUACCUUUUGUAUAAUGGGUCAGCGACUUAUAUUCAGUGGCAAGGUUAACCAUCUAGGGGAGCCGUAGGGAAACCGAGUCUUAACUGGGCGUUCAGUCUCUGGAUAUAGACCCGAAACCAGGUGAUCUAGCCAUGGGCAGGUUGAAGGUUGAGUAACAUCAACUGGAGGACCGAACCGACUAAUGUUGAAAAAUUAGCGGAUGACUUGUGGCUAGGGGUGAAAGGCCAAUCAAACCUGGAGAUAGCUGGUUCUCCCCGAAAGCUAUUUAGGUAGCGCCUCGGACGAAUACUACUGGGGGUAGAGCACUGUUAAGGCUAGGGGGUCAUCCCGACUUACCAACCCUUUGCAAACUCCGAAUACCAGUAAGUACUAUCCGGGAGACACACGGCGGGUGCUAACGUCCGUCGUGGAGAGGGAAACAACCCAGACCGCCAGCUAAGGUCCCAAAUUACUACUAAGUGGGAAACGAUGUGGGAAGGCUCAGACAGCCAGGAUGUUGGCUUAGAAGCAGCCAUCAUUUAAAGAAAGCGUAAUAGCUCACUGGUCGAGUCGGCCUGCGCGGAAGAUGUAACGGGGCUAAGUAGUAAACCGAAGCUGCGGCAAUGUGCUUUUGCACAUUGGGUAGGGGAGCGUUCUGUAAGCGGUUGAAGGUGUGUGGUAACGCAUGCUGGACGUAUCAGAAGUGCGAAUGCUGACAUGAGUAACGAUAAAGGGGGUGAAAAACCUCCUCGCCGGAAGACCAAGGGUUCCUGUCCAACGUUAAUCGGGGCAGGGUAAGUCGACCCCUAAGGCGAGGCCGAAAGGCGUAGUCGAUGGGAAACGGGUUAAUAUUCCCGUACUUCUUACAAUUGCGAUGGGGGGACGGAGAAGGCUAGGUGGGCCUGGCGACGGUUGUCCAGGUUCAAGUGCGUAGGCUUAAGAGUUAGGUAAAUCCGGCUCUUUUUAAGGCUGAGACACGACGUCGAGCCACUACGGUGGUGAAGUCAUUGAUGCCAUGCUUCCAGGAAAAGCCUCUAAGCUUCAGAUUGUAAGGAAUCGUACCCCAAACCGACACAGGUGGUCGGGUAGAGAAUACCAAGGCGCUUGAGAGAACUCGGGUGAAGGAACUAGGCAAAAUGGUACCGUAACUUCGGGAGAAGGUACGCUCUUGAUGGUGAAGUCCCUCGCGGAUGGAGCUGACGAGAGUCGCAGAUACCAGGUGGCUGCAACUGUUUAUUAAAAACACAGCACUGUGCAAAAUCGUAAGAUGACGUAUACGGUGUGACGCCUGCCCGGUGCCGGAAGGUUAAUUGAUGGGGUUAGACUUCGGUCGAAGCUCUUGAUCGAAGCCCCGGUAAACGGCGGCCGUAACUAUAACGGUCCUAAGGUAGCGAAAUUCCUUGUCGGGUAAGUUCCGACCUGCACGAAUGGCGUAAUGAUGGCCACGCUGUCUCCACCCGAGACUCAGUGAAAUUGAAAUCGCUGUGAAGAUGCAGUGUACCCGCGGCUAGACGGAAAGACCCCGUGAACCUUUACUACAGCUUGGCACUGAACAUUGACCCUACAUGUGUAGGAUAGGUGGGAGGCUUUGAAGCACGUACGCCAGUAUGUGUGGAGCCGUCCUUGAAAUACCACCCUUGUAGUGUUGAUGUUCUAACGUCGACCCCUUAUCGGGGUUGCGGACAGUGCCUGGUGGGUAGUUUGACUGGGGCGGUCUCCUCCCAAAGAGUAACGGAGGAGCACGAAGGUGGGCUAAUCACGGUUGGACAUCGUGAGGUUAGUGCAAUGGCAUAAGCCCGCUUGACUGCGAGAAUGACAAUUCGAGCAGGUGCGAAAGCAGGUCAUAGUGAUCCGGUGGUUCUGAAUGGAAGGGCCAUCGCUCAACGGAUAAAAGGUACUCCGGGGAUAACAGGCUGAUACCGCCCAAGAGUUCAUAUCGACGGCGGUGUUUGGCACCUCGAUGUCGGCUCAUCACAUCCUGGGGCUGAAGUCGGUCCCAAGGGUAUGGCUGUUCGCCAUUUAAAGUGGUACGCGAGCUGGGUUUAGAACGUCGUGAGACAGUUCGGUCCCUAUCUGCCGUGGGCGUUGGAAGAUUGAAGGGGGCUGCUCCUAGUACGAGAGGACCGGAGUGGACGAACCUCUGGUGUUCGGGUUGUGUCGCCAGACGCAUUGCCCGGUAGCUAAGUUCGGAAUCGAUAACCGCUGAAAGCAUCUAAGCGGGAAGCGAGCCCUGAGAUGAGUCUUCCCUGAUACUUUAAGUAUCCUAAAGGGUUGUCGGAGACUACGACGUUGAUAGGUCAGGUGUGUAAGUGCUGUGAGGCAUUGAGCUAACUGAUACUAAUUGCCCGUGAGGCUUAACCAU